Molecule: ribosomal RNA, 253 nt
Filed under: uncultured bacterium
Lineage: Bacteria
Description: partial 16S ribosomal RNA
Rfam family: Bacterial small subunit ribosomal RNA
Source: RNAcentral
UACAGAGGUCUCAAGCGUUGUUCGGAUUCAUUGGGCGUAAAGGGCUCGUAGGCGGUUUGUCGCGUCGGGAGUGAAAACACCGGGCUUAACUCGGUGCUUGCUUUCGAUACGGGCAGACUAGAGGCAUGCAGGGGAGAACGGAAUUCCUGGUGUAGCGGUGAAAUGCGCAGAUAUCAGGAGGAACACCGGUGGCGAAGGCGGUUCUCUGGGCAUGUCCUGACGCUGAGGAGCGAAAGUGUGGGGAGCGAACAGG